AUCCAGCUGACGAGUCCCAAAUAGAACUAAGUGUGACGUAUCCUGGAU
This is a non-coding RNA of Schistosoma margrebowiei, 48 nucleotides long. Lineage: Eukaryota; Metazoa; Platyhelminthes; Trematoda; Strigeidida; Schistosomatidae. The record is from Rfam.